Molecule: ribosomal RNA, 447 nt
Filed under: uncultured bacterium
Lineage: Bacteria
Description: partial 16S ribosomal RNA
Rfam family: Bacterial small subunit ribosomal RNA
Source: RNAcentral
AGCGAACGCUGGCGGCAGGCUUAACACAUGCAAGUCGAACGCCCCGCAAGGGGAGUGGCAGACGGGUGAGUAACACGUGGGAACGUACCCUUUGGUUCGGAAUAACUUGGGGAAACUCAAGCUAAUACCGGAUAAGCCCUUAUGGGGAAAGGUUUACUGCCGAAGGAUCGGCCCGCGUCUGAUUAGCUAGUUGGUGAGGUAACGGCUCACCAAGGCGACGAUCAGUAGCUCGUCUGAGAGGAUGAUCAGCCACACUGGGACUGAGACACGGCCCAGGCUCCUACGGGAGGCAGCAGUGGGGAAUAUUGGACAAUGGGGGCAACCCUGAUCCAGCCAUGCCGCGUGAGUGAUGAAGGCCUUAGGGUUGUAAAGCUCUUUUACCCGGGACGAUAAUGACUGGACCGGGAGAAUAAGCCCCGGCUAACUUCGUGCCAGCCGCCGCAGUAA